Molecule: ribosomal RNA, 468 nt
Filed under: uncultured bacterium
Lineage: Bacteria
Description: partial 16S ribosomal RNA
Rfam family: Bacterial small subunit ribosomal RNA
Source: RNAcentral
GACGAACGCUGGCGGCGUGCUUAACACAUGCAAGUCGAACGGAAAGGCAAUGCUUUUGUGGGGUGCUCGAGUGGCGAACGGGUGAGUAACACGUGAGUAACCUGCCCUUGACUUAGGGAUAACUUCAGGAAACUAGGGCUAACAACGGAUAGGAGCUCCUGCUGCAUGGCGGGGGUUGGAAAGGUUCGGAGGUUGGGGAUGGACUCGCGGCUGAUCAGUUAGUUGGUGGGGGAGGUGAUUACCAAGGCUUUGACGGGUAGCUGGCCUGAGAGGGUGACCGGCCACAUGAGGACAGAGAUACGGCCCGGAGUCCUACGGGAGGCAGCAGUAGGGAAUAUUGCAUGAUGGGCGGAAGCCGGAUGCAGCAACACCGCGUGCGGGAUGACGGCCUUCGGUUUGUAAACCGCUUUCGCCGGUGACGAAGCGUGAGUGACGGUAAUGGGUAAAGAAGCACCGGCUAACUACGUG